RNAcentral lists this transfer RNA (98 nucleotides) under Streptomyces werraensis. RNAcentral describes it as "tRNA-Leu". Lineage: Bacteria; Bacillati; Actinomycetota; Actinomycetes; Kitasatosporales; Streptomycetaceae. The record is from RNAcentral.
AGCCGGGGUGGCCUCAGGGGAGCCGGGGCGCCCUCAGGGGGCUCCAGGGGUGACGAGACCCGUCUCGUACGCGCAGAUCACAGCCUGCACCCGGUCCC